UUCCAGACUCCUACGGGAGGCAGCAGUGGGGGAUAUUGCACAAUGGGGGGAACCCUGAUGCAGCGACGCCGCGUGAGUGAAGAAGUCAUUCGUCAUGUAAAGCUCUAUCAGCAGGGAAGAAUAAAUGACGGUACCUGAGUAAGAAGCCCCGGCUAACUACGUGCCAGCAGCCGCGGUAAUACGUAGGGGGCAAGCGUUAUCCGGAUUUACUGGGUGUAAAGGGAGCGUAGACGGCGAUGCAAGCCAGAUGUGAAAGCCCGCGGCUCAACUGCGGUAGUGCAUUUGGAACUGUAUGGCUGGAGUGCAGGAGAGGCAGGCGGAAUUCCUAGUGUAGCGGUAAAAUGCGUAGAUAUUAGGAGGAACACCAGUGGCGAAGGCGGCCUGCUGGACUGUAACUGACGUUGAGGCUCGAAAGCGUGGGGAGCAAACAGGAUUAGAUACCCGUGUA
RNAcentral lists this ribosomal RNA (448 nucleotides) under uncultured bacterium. RNAcentral's name for it is "bacterial SSU rRNA". It matches the Rfam family "Bacterial small subunit ribosomal RNA", at positions 329 to 792 of the family's 1533-position model. The record is from RNAcentral.